RNAcentral lists this ribosomal RNA (252 nucleotides) under uncultured Bacteroidales bacterium. RNAcentral's name for it is "partial 16S ribosomal RNA". It matches the Rfam family "Bacterial small subunit ribosomal RNA", at positions 524 to 776 of the family's 1533-position model. The record is from RNAcentral. Lineage: Bacteria; Pseudomonadati; Bacteroidota; Bacteroidia; Bacteroidales.
UACGGAGGAUGCGAGCGUUAUCCGGAUUUAUUGGGUUUAAAGGGUGCGCAGGCGGAUUUUUAAGUCAGCGGUCAAAUCGUGGAGCUCAACUCCAUCCAGCCGUUGAAACUGACGGUCUUGAGUGGGCGAGAAGUAUGCGGAAUGCGUGGUGUAGCGGUGAAAUGCAUAGAUAUCACGAAGAACUCCGAUUGCGAAGGCAGCUCACUGGACUGCAACUGACACUGAGGCUCGAAAGUGUGGGUAUCAAACAGG